Molecule: ribosomal RNA, 246 nt
Filed under: Nephroma plumbeum
Lineage: Eukaryota; Fungi; Ascomycota; Lecanoromycetes; Peltigerales; Nephromataceae
Description: partial 26S ribosomal RNA
Rfam family: Eukaryotic large subunit ribosomal RNA
Source: RNAcentral
UUGACCUCGGAUCAGGUAGGGAUACCCGCUGAACUUAAGCAUAUCAAUAAGCGGAGGAAAAGAAACCAACAGGGAUUGCCUCAGUAACGGCGAGUGAAGCGGCAACAGCUCAAAUUUGAAAUCUGACCCCUUCGGGGCCCGAGUUGUAAUUUGUAGAGGGUGCUUCGGGCGUGGGCUUAGGUCUAAGUUCCUUGGAACAGGACGUCAUAGAGGGUGAGAAUCCCGUAUGCGACCGGCGAUCCAGCC